UUUUUUACAGCCAUGCCUGUGGCAUAUGUAAGUUUCCAGGCUAGAGGUCAAAUCAGAGCUGCAGCUGCCAGCCUACACUGCAGCCCACAGCCACAGCAAUGCUGGAUCCCCAACCCACUGAGGCCAGGGAUGGAACCUGAAUCUUCAGGGAUGCUAGUCGGAUUGGUUUCUGCUAUGCCACAUCAGGAACNUUAUUUUAAAGACUACCAUAAUUCAUAGAAAAAAUGGACAUGAUAUCCAUGAUUGUUUGUGUAAUUAUUACACUGUCCUCAAAUGGGUAUGUGAAAUAAAACUUAAAUAGAAUUGGGGGAGAUAAUAUGACUACCUAAUCAGCCUUUAAAAAAUCAAAAUGAAUCCUUUUUGUAAAAUAAGAGAGAUUAUCUCUCAGCCUCAGAGAGAUAACACAUAGCCUUUAACAAAAUAAGAAAUCUUUCAUAUUCCAGCUGGCGCUCGUGAAAACUUAAGCUUUUCUGAAUCUGUUUACUCAAUCCCUUCCAAAGAUAUAUAAAAUUUACCUGAUCGCUUGUUAAGAUAAUUAAGCUAAACAACACAUCUAAACCCCUAAUAGAGUAUUAGGAACUCAAGCAAAUUUGCUACAUGUACAUAAAUAUAAAACUUAGUCAGAGGGCUUCUAAUCUCUCGUCUACAAAGAACUGCUUUUGGGGGAAAAAAUCUUAAUAUUGGGUAAAUCUCGCCAACUUUCUAAUCUCCUGAAUAAAGAGAAUGAAUAAACCAUCCAUCACUGAUUUCAAACAUUACUGAAGUUCCCACCGUGGCACAGCAGAAACGAAUCUGACCAGUAACCAUGAGGUUGUGAGUUUGAUCCCUGGCCUCACUCCGUGGGUUAAGGAUCUGGCAUUGCCAUGUGGUGUAGGUUGCAGACAUGGCACAGAUCCCGCUGUGCUGUGGCACAAGCCGGCAGCUACAGCUUCGAUUCAACCCCUGGCCUGGGUACUUUCAUAGGCCAUGGAUGCAGCUCAAAAAAGAAAAAAAAAAAAAAAGAAAAGAAAAAAAAGACAUAGGCCAGUCUGGCAGAACUGCAAGGCUAGUAUGGAAAAGUGACUUGAGGAGUUCCCAUCAUGGCUCCGUGGUUAAGGAAUCCGACUAGGAACCAUGAGGUUGCGGGUUCGAUCCCUGGCCUUGCUCGGUGGGUUAAGGAUCAAGCGUUGCUGUGAGCUGUGGUGUAGGUCACAGACACGGCUCGGAUCCCGAGUUGCUGUGGCUCUGGUGUAGGCGGGUGGCCACAGCUCUGAUUCGACCCCUAGCCUAGGAACCUCCAUGUGCCGCGGGAGUGGCCCUAGAAAAGGCAAAAAGACCAAAAAAAGAAAAGAAAAAAAAAAAGUUCUGGAAAGACAGAUCAGCACAUGCAAAAAAUAUGGCAGUGGGCUCUGAUAGUGCUGCCAGGACCCAUCAAUAACAGCUCCAUAUGACUGGGCCCAGAAUGGCCACAAAGGCCAUGAGGCAAAGUAACUGGAGCGGCAGUGUCAGGACCACAUCCUGCAAACAAAGGCCUUGUACAGAGGCCCAGGCAGCUGGACUUUCUCCUUAAGGCACUGGUGGCCUAGGUAGGCCCAUGGUGAGUUCUUAGGUGACAGAUACACUACCUGCUAUUUAUACAAAAUUCCAGCAGCUUGAAGAGGAAUUUGUAUUAAAAACCAGAGAGAGAGACAGAGAGAGAUAAACAUGGUGUUACUUAUUAAAUCAUCUUCUUUUGUAUAGCAAAAGAAUGACUGUCAAGCCAUCCAAUCCAUCAACCUGAUAUGGAAGAAAUAACAUUAAAAUCUACAGGGCUUUUCCCCCAGUUCCCAUGGGAGCAGUUUGGGAUUUGGCUGAUGGAUUCAACUUCUCAGAGUGGCCUGGAAAUUUAUAAGCUUCCUCCUAAUAACAGCAAAUUCAAAUUCUGGUAGCCAUAGUGACAGGCUGUUCUAGCCCUGUCUGAAAUCUGGGAAGCGGCCAUUAGUACAAAGCCCUGAGGUGAAGGAUAAAUACUUUCUAGUGAGCAUUGGUCAAACCAAUUUACCUGUUCACACAGACAUUUAAGAUUUUAUCUAAUGUUAUCAGAAGAAUGCUGAGUCCACUUUUUAAUAAGGAAAACAAUCUUUUAAGAGAGCACUAAGGCUGAUUAGAAUACAGUAAUUUAAGCCAUGCCAAAAAAUAAAAAAAUAAAUAAAAAAUAAAAAAACCCACAAAUUAUAAAUAUAAUUAGAUCAGAAAAAAGUGGGGUUUAUUAUGGUUGGAAGCAGAGUUGCCCUAAUGUAUACAAGUCCUUCAAGGCUAUUUUAGUAUGAACUUAAUUAGAACAUUCUUUCAUAAAGAAACAAAAAUGUGUGCCAUUUCCUCUUUCAUUUCAUAUAAACACAUGGACUCAGCAAACUGUAUAGUUAACAUAUUAGAAAGGUCUAAGUGCUUUAACCAUCAAAGAGCAGGGGUGUUGCUGGCCAAGGGUGAUGGUGGUCACAUAUUUUGCAAAGCUGAACUAUCACCUAUUAACUUAAAACCCUAAAAAUAGGCUCAGUGACAGGUAUUUGAGUUUAUGAAUGAAGAGAUAAAGAAAUGAUCGAUGACACGCUGGCUGCCAUCCUGGGACACCCCCAAUGUUCCCAGGACAAGUGACUAAAGGAAACAGCAAAACAAUAUGAUUGGCAGGGCCAUGAACAACUACAUGGGGUUCAUGACACUCAUCACCGCACUUGUGAUGUCCUUUAAAAAUGUUCUCAUGAAAUUCCUUGUCAGUUUUCCAUUUGGGUUUUCUAUAAUCAAAUGCAAAAUUAAAACAAAUUAAUAGGAGUUCCCGUCGUGGCUCAGUGGUUAAUGAAUCUGACUAGGAACCAUGAGGUUGAGGAUUCGAUCCCUGGCCUCGCUCAGUGGGUUUAGUAUCCGGCGUUGCUGUGAACUAUGGUGUAGGUUGCAAACACAGCUUGGAUCCUGAGUUGCUGUGGCUCUGGCGUAGGCCGGUGGCUACAGCUCCGAUUCGACCCCUAGCCUGGGAACCUCCAUAUGCCGCAGGAACGGCCCAAGAAAUGGCAAAAAAAAAAAAAAAAAAGACAAAAACAAACAAAAAAACAAAUUAAUAAACCACACCAGGAUAUGUAGUUAUGUUCUGAAAAACUUUUUGAAACUGUAAUUAAGUCUCAUAAUCUUAUCACUUACGUCAUUUCUUAACUUACGCAUCAAGAACUAUAUGUGUACAAAAUAAUAUGUGUGUGCCUAAAAUAUCAGAUGUAUGUGUAUUUAUCUCUGGAAUAUCUAAGAAUCUGGACAACUAAACUCUAACAUCACAAGUCUUAAUCUAAUGUGUUUCAGUGGCAUUCACAAAUUCAGGAGCCAAUGAAUGCUGGAUUUAGCAUUAACCCCAUUAUGAAGCAGGUUACGUCCCAAAGGCUACCUCCUAAAGAAAGACAAAAACGCAAUAAAUAGAAUGAGUUCUGCCACAUGUUCAAUACACAUCCUAUUUAUUUGGUUCUGGUAGAUAUACAAACCAAAGCCUAUCUGAACUGCUGUUUUGCUUACAUUUGAAAGUAAAAGUGUAAACUAAUUUCAGAUGCAGCCAACAAUAGACAGAUCACCCAUCAUCUCUAAUAACAUCAGAUCUUCACAUACAGGCUUCAGAAGGAUCCCACUCAAAACAAUUAGGCAUCAUAUACUAUGUGCUUUUUAUCCCUUCUGGAUGCAAAUAUACCUUAGAAUUGCCAUUGUGUGUGUUCAUCAGUGGUUAUUAGCUACUCCACUGAAAAUUCUAAUUUGCCUUUCAAAACAUCAUUGGGACCAAAGCUGACAUCUUCCUAAUGCUAAAUUAUUUUUCUCUGAAAAAAAAAAAAAAGCACCUCCAUCACUUUCAUAUUUUUAAAUUACAGCUGUAAAAAUUUUAAAAGCACAAACAAAACACCACUACCUGCAUAUAAACAUCUAGCUACAACUUACGUAAAUAUGUUUUAAUCGUGGCAAUAAUCAAGAAAUAUUUGAAAGAAGACAGUCUUGAUAUCUUGGGUAAAUCUAAAUCAAAGAGAAAACAUCAAAACUUUCUUGUUCUUAAUGAAAGUUCACCUUAUGAUUUGCAAGUCAGAUGACUAUCAAUGAGAUGCUAGUAACUUGGCCAUAACUUGGAAAAUACAAAUUAUUAACUUGUAAAAAAUAAAGAAUAACUCUAUAUAUCAGCAGUCCUCAUUUACAUGCCUUUUUCUUACCUAUUUUUAGGACAUCUAGAACUACAUAAGAGAAGUGUUACUAGGUCAAAAAGCUGAAUUUUUGGAAUAAUACAGCAUUAAGCAUAGUGGUUUUUUCUCUGGCAGAAUAACAAAACUCUUUUCAUUUGUAAAAUAGAUAAUAAGAUCACAGUGCUCACACCUAACAGGUGAUCUUAAGGCAAAUAGGUGGUAAUUCAUGCACACACACAAAAACCUUUCAUAUCUAGUACACGAUGUUCAAUAAAUAAAUAUCUGUCAGAAGCAUUAUGACCACUUCGGAAUGACAUUAACCGUAACCGGGUGACUGUGGACAUGCAUAAGUCAUCAGAGGACCCUUUCUGCUGAAGAACAGACAGAAAGCGUCUUCCGGAGGCUCUGGAGCCCCACUCUAGAAAGCAGGGCAAAUACACUGCUUUUCAAAGUGCAGAUAACAACAGAUUUUUAGUAUAAUCUGGAAUGGAAUGGAAAAACAGUACAUCAUAGUCAAGAGUUAAGUGUAUUGUCUUGUGAAAUGCAUAUACACAGGGUCAGAAAAUGGAUUUCUGACAAUGUUGCCCAUAAACAAUUUGAGGGAGGAAGCCAGAGGGCCCUGGGAGUUUGGGGCCAGCAGAUCCAAACGAUUGCCUUUAGAAUGGAUAAGCAAUGAGAUCCUGCUGCAUAGCACAGGGAGCUAUAUCUAAUCUCUUGGGACAGAACAAGAUGGAAGAUAGUAUGAGAAAAGGAAUGCAUAUAUAUAUAUGUAUGACUGGGUCACUUCACUGUACAGCAGAAAUUGGCACAACACUGUCAAUCAACUAUACUUUGAAAAAAAAAGAAAAGAGCAAAGUAAAAACAGCGAUAACAAUUUGAAAACUGCUGGCUUUUAGACACGGGUAU
RNAcentral lists this long non-coding RNA (5060 nucleotides) under Sus scrofa (pig). Its description in RNAcentral is "lncRNA (ENSSSCG00040023087.1)". The record is from RNAcentral. Lineage: Eukaryota; Metazoa; Chordata; Mammalia; Artiodactyla; Suidae.